This 492-nucleotide ribosomal RNA is filed under the name uncultured bacterium. Its description in RNAcentral is "partial 16S ribosomal RNA". It matches the Rfam family "Bacterial small subunit ribosomal RNA", at positions 29 to 507 of the family's 1533-position model. The record is from RNAcentral.
AGUGAACGCUGGCGGUAGGCCUAACACAUGCAAGUCGAACGGCAGCACAGUAAGAGCUUGCUCUUACGGGUGGCGAGUGGCGGACGGGUGAGGAAUACAUCGGAAUCUACUUUUUCGUGGGGGAUAACGUAGGGAAACUUACGCUACUACCGCAUACGACCUACGGGUGAAAGCAGGGGAUCUUCGGACCUUGCGCGAUUGAAUGAGCCGAUGUCGGAUUAGCUAGUUGGCGGGGUAAAGGCCCACCAAGGCGACGAUCCGUAGCUGGUCUGAGAGGAUGAUCAGCCACACUGGAACUGAGACACGGUCCAGACUCCUACGGGAGGCAGCAGUGGGGAAUAUUGGACAAUGGGCGCAAGCCUGAUCCAGCCACACCGCGUGGGUGAAGAAGGCCUUCGGGUUGUAAAGCCCUGUUGUUGGGAAAGAAAAGCAGCAGGUUAAUACCCCGCUGUUCUGACGGUACCCAAAGAAUAAGCACCGGCUAACUUCGUG